This 107-nucleotide small nuclear RNA is filed under the name Dasypus novemcinctus (nine-banded armadillo). The record is from RNAcentral. Lineage: Eukaryota; Metazoa; Chordata; Mammalia; Cingulata; Dasypodidae.
GUGCUCACUUUGGCAGCACAUAUACUAAAAUUGGAACAAUACAGAGGAGAUUAGCAUGGUCCCUGCACAAGGAUGACACGCAAAUUAGUGAAGCGUUCCAUAUUUUU